UACAGAGGUGGCAAGCGUUGUUCGGAAUUACUGGGCGUAAAGGGCUCGUAGGCGGCCAACUAAGUCAGACGUGAAAUCCCUCGGCUUAACCGGGGAACUGCGUCUGAUACUGGAUGGCUUGAGGUUGGGAGAGGGAUGCGGAAUUCCAGGUGUAGCGGUGAAAUGCGUAGAUAUCUGGAGGAACACCGGUGGCGAAGGCGGCAUCCUGGACCAAUUCUGACGCUGAGUGAGCGAAAGCCAGGGGAGCAAACGGG
This 254-nucleotide ribosomal RNA is filed under the name uncultured bacterium. RNAcentral's name for it is "partial 16S ribosomal RNA". It matches the Rfam family "Bacterial small subunit ribosomal RNA", at positions 524 to 776 of the family's 1533-position model. The record is from RNAcentral.